AUUGAACGCUGGCGGCAUGCUUUACACAUGCAAGUCGAGCGGGCUUAGGUGCUUGCACCUAAGUUAGUGGCGAACGGGUGAGUAAUGCAUCGGAACGUACCGUGUAGUGGGGGAUAACCCGGCGAAAGUCGGAUUAAUACCGCAUACGAUCUAAGGAUGAAAGCAGGGGAUCGCAAGACCUUGCGCUAUACGAGCGGCCGAUGUCGGAUUAGCUAGUUGGUAGGGUAAAGGCCUACCAAGGCAACGAUCCGUAGCGGGUCUGAGAGGAUGAUCCGCCACACUGGGACUGAGACACGGCCCAGACUCCUACGGGAGGCAGCAGUGGGGAAUUUUGGACAAUGGGCGAAAGCCUGAUCCAGCCAUGCCGCGUGAGUGAAGAAGGCCUUCGGGUUGUAAAGCUCUUUUGUCCGGGAGCAAAUCCUGUUCACUAAUACUGAGCGGGGCUGAGAGUACCGGAAGAAUAAGCACCGGCUAACUACGUGCCAGCCGCCGCCGUAA
This 498-nucleotide ribosomal RNA is filed under the name uncultured bacterium. RNAcentral's name for it is "partial 16S ribosomal RNA". It matches the Rfam family "Bacterial small subunit ribosomal RNA", at positions 30 to 523 of the family's 1533-position model. The record is from RNAcentral.